UGGCAGUUAAAACAGUGCUCCAAAAGUCGCAUAUAGAGUUGUAGCUUUCUGAUUGAAAACAAUGUGUUAAUUCCUUCCGCAUUUAAAUAUAUCUUUUCAAAAUGUUUAAGGAAAAUGUAAAGAGAAGUUUCAGUAUUACAGAACAAUACAAUACUAGCUCCAAUUCUGGGCCGUAACGGUUUGUCAGGAAGUUGAAGAUGGGGAUAGAAAUUUCUUUAUUCUGAUUGUCUAAUAAUUCAAUGCUAUACGACAGGAUUCAUUGCGGAUGGAUGCGCAGUAAAAUGUGGAGAUACAAGCGCUUACUUAGAGAGGAAGAAAAACGUUCAAGAAUUGAACCUUGACAUAAAAAUGGGACGUUAACAAUAACAAAAGCGAAAAUGCGAAACGUUAAUAUAAGUUACCCUUCAUCGUGUUCCAAGCGCUGCAAGGCUUAGAUCAUAUACGUAUACCAUAUAGUAAUUAGGCCAUAUAAUAAUAAUUUCACGAUCAGAUCACAAUGCAGCGAGAAUCGGGUGAUUGCACUCUUCCUCUGCUCCUCCCAUGUAACCUCCGGUCUCAGGGUGCGUUGAUUGGUGGGACCAUGGUAGUUCCCACCCUCGGUGCGUAAGGUCUUCUGUAAGGGGUCCAAGGGAAAGCGGUGCGGAAUGUGUACGUGUAUGUUACGUGACACGAGCUUGAAUGUCGCUGCUCAUUUUCUCCAAUGAAGGCCUAUUGAAGACUCCCAGGCUUUUGAAGAAAGUCGUAAUGCUGUCUUCCUACAUACCUGCUUUCUUUGCUGAUUUUUAGCUAAGGGGUCCUAUUUCCAUUUGAAGUGUUUCUGCUACUUUAUUGUUUGCAGCUCUGGCAUUCCUUUCUAUUAUAUUUCCUACUCGAGUAACUGUCUAUUGAGAACUCUAGAUAUAUUAAAAGGAUGAAAAGGUUGGAUAGUGGACUGUACUGUAAAAAACUAAAUAUAUAUGUACAAUAGAAUAAUGAAAUGUAAUGAUGUUCGUGAAGCUCACGAAUGAUACGAUCAAGCGAUCGAUUUAUGACUAUGUACAAAGCUGUAGCGAAGUUUACAAGCGCAAUAGAUUAAAGCGACACUAGACUGCAAGCGUAGAAGAAUUACAAGCGUAACAAGUUCGAUCGCCAUGUGCGGACCUAUUUAUAUUGUCGUGGGCCAUCGAUUAGGAAAGAAAAAGGAGUGGGGGUUUUGAAUAUUGGAAGGACUAAGCAACACUGAACGUUCGUUGCAAUGUAUUAGGGCAAUGCCUUAACGAACAGCGCUGCAUGAGAAACAACGGAAAAUAGGUAACGGAUUUGAUAUUGGGAUUAUUGGAAGGACAAAUACAUCGCGACGAUACAAACAGGAGACAUGUGUACUAGUACGAGUCGUAUCUGGGCCGACGUUGAGCUCGACUCUGUACAAAAACUAACGUCGCGCUAGUAUUCUUAUACACCGACCCAGAUGACACAAGUAAAAACGAGGUGAUCGGCCGGCGAUCUAAAAUUUAUGAAUUUGAUUUCAGAUACCGUCUAAUCAUAACUUUGCCGUUUCGUUGGCUAGAUACAUUUUUAUCGUUGUUACAAUAAUAACAGUUCUCAUGCUAUUUGCUAUUCGAAUAAUGCGCGCUAUCAUGGCGAUGAGGACUAUUAAAAUAGCGGUGAUUUAGAUUCCGAUGACAUUACAAUAUAGUAAUAUCUUUAGAGUAUAUAUAUACUCUAAGUGCACAUCCAACCCGCGUGAAUCUGUCUCAGCCAAUCGUCAGAGAAAAGGAAUGUCUACUCUUAUUUUCGCUAACGGAGCGCGCUGUGGCCUGACAGUCUUACAGAAACUUGAACAUCACUGUACAUAUAUAUUUUCCCGCGCACGAGGAAACAAUGAUGGAAUGAUACAGAUACAGGUUAACAGAAGAGAAGAAAGUUACGGUUUGUCGAUGUCGAAGGGACGCUCUGGAAUCUCUGGAUUUUGUCGCUAAUCUUUGGUUAUACUACAUGAUGAAAACUGUCUGAAAUAGAAGUUGUAAGACGAAAACAAUUCUUACGUUACUAUUUUACUACGUAUAAUUGGUACAAGAGAACAAAAUUUUUCGUUUAUAAAGAUGAUGAUAUGCUGGUUGGCAUUAUCUUAAUGUGUUAAGAGAUUUAAGACUCUAAGGUUGAAUUAUCAAGUGUAA
Molecule: non-coding RNA, 2156 nt
Organism: Megalopta genalis
Lineage: Eukaryota; Metazoa; Arthropoda; Insecta; Hymenoptera; Halictidae
Source: RefSeq, a predicted model, not a curated record